AGUGAACGCUGGCGGUAGGCCUAACACAUGCAAGUCGAACGGCAGCACAGUAAGAGCUUGCUCUUACGGGUGGCGAGUGGCGGACGGGUGAGGAAUACAUCGGAAUCUACUUUUUCGUGGGGGAUAACGUAGGGAAACUUACUCUAAUACCGCAUACGACCUACGGGUGAAAGCAGGGGAUCUUCGGACCUUGCGCGAUUGAAUGAGCCGAUGUCGGAUUAGCUAGUUGGCGGGGUAAAGGCCCACCAAGGCGACGAUCCGUAGCUGGUCUGAGAGGAUGAUCAGCCACACUGGAACUGAGACACGGUCCAGACUCCUACGGGAGGCAGCAGUGGGGAAUAUUGGACAAUGGGGGAAAGCCUGAUACAGCAAUACCGCGUGAGUGAAGAAGGCCUUCGGGUGGGAAAGCCCUUUUGUUGGGAAAGAAAAACAGCAGGUUAAUACCCCGCUGUUAUGACGGUACCCAAAGAAUAAGCACCGGCUAACUUCGUG
This 492-nucleotide ribosomal RNA is filed under the name uncultured bacterium. RNAcentral's name for it is "partial 16S ribosomal RNA". It matches the Rfam family "Bacterial small subunit ribosomal RNA", at positions 29 to 507 of the family's 1533-position model. The record is from RNAcentral.